UCCAUCUGCUCGAAAUUUUUUAUUAUUACAUUUUAUACUUUUAAAUUUAUAUAUUUUUAUACUUAUGUCUACAAAAUUUUAAAAUUAUCACCCCCUUAAAAUUAUAAAAAAAUUCCUUUAUAUAAGUAAAAAUUUUCCAACUGAAAUUAUAAAAGAAUCCCUCUCAUAUGCGUGAAAAUGAAAGUAACAAAGAAGGUUGAACUGUUGGUGAAGGCGAUCAACAAGCUCAGGAGUGAGGUGGUGUAUUCCGACAGCUCCAUUCCAAAGGGGAUUGUUCGAGUUCAUACUUACCCUGAGGAUGAAGCUUCGCUCAACAAGAUGAUGAAGCUCGCGAACACGACGAUGGUUCAGGCCAUGUCUCUAAUGGCAGCUGACAUCCACACCAAUUACUUGGGUAAGGAAACUACCCUCCAAUUGCUGCGAAAUGGCGAAGCCAGCUGUGGUUCUUCCCACCCAUAGAUUCGGAGGUUCUAGUUUUAUCUCUCUCUCUCUCUCUCUCUCUCUAUAUAUAUAUAUAUAUAUAUCUAUAUAUAUAUAUAUAUAACAUAGGGUUUAUGUUCUUCAGUAGCAGGGAAGAAGGGAAUGUGUAUGUAUGUUUGGUUGUUUUUGGUACUUUAGUCUAUGUUAGUGUUUACGAUGGUGGUGGUACUUGUUAACUCUGUUCCUCAUUUAGUUACAUAGCAAUAUAGCAUCAUCUAUUAUGUGAUCUAUGUUUUUGAUGGAUUGGUAUUGUGAUUUUAAUUUUCCUUUUGUUUGUUGGUUGGGUUUAUGCUUGUUUGAAUUUUUAGGGUUUUUGACAGACUUUUUCUUGUUCUUGAGUGAGUUGAGUGCGGGACGUCAUGCAUCCGCAUAAAUUUGGGCAAAGAAAGGUUUAAGGUGGUUUUAGCAUGAUAAAUGUUUGAUAAAAUGCCCACUAGUAGUCCGUGUUUAAUAGUAAUGAUUUAAUUUUAUAACAUUAAUCUCCAGCUCAAGUUAACAUGGAGUAUCUUGCUUUUGUUGGUACACUAUCACUAUAUCUGUUGCUUGAUUAACUCUCAAGGUGCAGAAGGACUGUAUUGUUUAUGAGGUGCAAUACUGCAAUAUUGCUGAGAUUGAGGGUGAGGAGGACGAAGACUAUAAAUACUAUAAAUUCAAAUGAUUUGUUUUGUAUGCUAUUACUUUGGCAGAAUUAUAUUUUCCUUUUAGUUUGGGGUUUUUUGUACUUCUUUGAACUUGGCUCUUUCUUGUGUACUGAUAACUAUAAGCCUGCGUUGGCUUGAUGCUGCCGUAUUUGGUUGUGCUUUGCUUUAUCCAUCUUCACAAUAUCUGGUAUUACUAUAGGUAAUAGGUAUGAGUGCAUCCCAGAAGUUCAUACUAAGGCAUAACAUCGUUUAUAUAUGGUGGCAUUAAAUACGUUCAGUAGAGUACUAGCUGGCUAGAACAAUAUGCACAUGUAUUGCCAACAUAUAAUAUGAUAGCCAUUUGGAAAUUUGUGAUUAUUGUUUUACAGUCAUGGGUGACUUAAUAGGAGAAACUGGGGUUGCAGUGCCAUUGACACCCAUACUGCCAUUGAAAGUGCAAAAGAGUGUCCCUUGCACGCGGAUCAAACCAAGGAGACUGCUGACAAGUCCAAGUUAUGCUUCGGCCGAUUGGGGUGGGAAUAAAAAAGGAGAGAUUUUAAGGCCAUGGUUGUUGUGAUGGUAACUAGAAGAUGAUUGCAACAAUACAUUUCUCUAAGGACGGAAAGCGAGCAAGCGUACCAAAUGAAUCCUUUGUAAUAAAGAAGUACAGAAGGAGUCUCCUCUCCAAAAAAGGCCUGUCACCAGGAGAAGAUUCUUUGGACAAUAUGUUGUUAAGUUGGAAACUGAUACUUGCAGUGGGUUCUCUUCAUUUACCCAAUUUAAGGGCAAGGAGAGACCAUGUUACUGCAGUUUUUAUUGACUAACUUUAAAAGUCUCUCUGUCUCUCUCUGUCAUACACACACACACACAGGGGGGAGUGGAAUUUAAAUUAUCUCCAUAUAAGUCAAGAGGGGCAAAUUUUCACUAUGUAAUGCAGUCUAUCACCAUUAAGCAUGCCAUCUUUGUGGGCUUCACCCUACAACCCAAAUCUACUGCCGGCCUGUUAGCUUCAUUGACAUGCAUCUUCUAGAGGAAUGGCUCAGAACAUGUGGAUGUGGACCAAGAUAUGUGAUCCCAUGGAGAAGGCAAGUUGAAUUGAAAUGAAUACUUGUUCAUUCCAAGUCUUCUACUCAAGCAAUUGGUAUUUUUUUUUAAUCUGAGUUUCUCAUUUUUUUCCCUUCGAAAAAGUAAAGAAGGGUUUGCACCAUAUUGUUCAGUGAAUUGGGACAACUUAAAAGCUAUAGAGUCUGAAGAGGCAGUUGUGCCUCUUAAACAUGAUCAUUCCAAGCCCCAUUCAAAAUUGUCCAGACUAUUUCUCACCCCAAAGAAUACUCGACCAAUAAAAAUAUUAUCUCAAAGAGUUAUGUUAUUCUAAUCGGCUCUACAUGUGAGGGUCUAUAUAUAUAUAUAAGUCCGUGCAUGACUGGACCCAAGUGGGAAAGGGAAAAGAAAAUUAACUGUAAAAAGAGGACUAUAAAGGUAAGAGAAUUAAUUUUAUCAAAUAAUAAACAAAUUGCAGGAUUAACUUCUUGAUGUGAAAUGAACUAGAUUGGUUGUGUUUUGAAAUUAUGUACUCCAUAUGUGUGUUUAGGAGUUCUAUUUUUGGCUUUCUGUAAAAAAUAUUGUAGACUUUUGUACAUUUUAUCUAUCCUUUAAUUGCAAAGUA
Molecule: long non-coding RNA, 2766 nt
Organism: Cornus florida
Lineage: Eukaryota; Viridiplantae; Streptophyta; Magnoliopsida; Cornales; Cornaceae
Exons: 2
Source: RefSeq, a predicted model, not a curated record